RNAcentral lists this non-coding RNA (31 nucleotides) under Rattus norvegicus (Norway rat). The record is from RNAcentral. Lineage: Eukaryota; Metazoa; Chordata; Mammalia; Rodentia; Muridae.
UGCCUAUCGAACCCAUGAUAAGACGGCCACC